GCUCGGGUGGUGGAAUGGUAUACACGAAAGACUUAAAAUCUUUUGCUUCACAGCUUGCGGGUUCGAGUCCCGCCCCGAGCA
Molecule: transfer RNA, 81 nt
Filed under: Minisyncoccota bacterium
Lineage: Bacteria; Bacillati; Minisyncoccota
Description: tRNA-Leu
Rfam family: tRNA
About the family: Transfer RNA (tRNA) molecules are approximately 80 nucleotides in length.
Source: RNAcentral